RNAcentral lists this ribosomal RNA (123 nucleotides) under Triticum spelta. Lineage: Eukaryota; Viridiplantae; Streptophyta; Magnoliopsida; Poales; Poaceae. RNAcentral also lists the same sequence under 1 other name. The record is from RNAcentral.
GAUAUUCUGGUGUCCUAGGCGUAGAGGAACCACACCAAUCCAUCCCGAAUUUGGUGGUUAAACUCUACUGCGGUGACGAUACUGUAGGGGAGGUCCUGCGGCAAAAUAGCUCGAUGCCAGAAU